Molecule: non-coding RNA, 26 nt
Filed under: Drosophila erecta
Lineage: Eukaryota; Metazoa; Arthropoda; Insecta; Diptera; Drosophilidae
Also listed under: 2 other names
Source: RNAcentral
UCCCGGAAAGUCGGCCAGCGAAGAUA